GUGCCAGCAGCCGCGGUAAUACGGAGGGUGCAAGCGUUGUUCGGAAUUACUGGGCGUAAAGAGCGUGUAGGCGGUUAAGCAAGUCAGAUGUGAAAGCCUUCCGCUUAACGGGAGAAUGGCAUUUGAAACUACUUGGCUGGAGUUCGGGAGAGGAGAGUGGAAUUCCCGGUGUAGAGGUGAAAUUCGUAGAUAUCGGGAGGAACACCGGUGGCGAAGGCGGCUCUCUGGCCCGGUACUGACGCUGAGACGCGAAAGCGUGGGGAGCAAACAGGAUUAGAAACCCGCGUAGUCC
This 292-nucleotide ribosomal RNA is filed under the name uncultured bacterium. RNAcentral's name for it is "partial 16S ribosomal RNA". It matches the Rfam family "Bacterial small subunit ribosomal RNA", at positions 505 to 796 of the family's 1533-position model. The record is from RNAcentral.